GACGAACGCUGGCGGCGUGCCUAAUACAUGCAAGUCGAGCGGAGUUAGAACUUCGGUUUUAAUUUAGCGGCGGACGGGUGAGUAACACGUAGGUAACCUGCCUAACAGACUGGGAUAACUACCGGAAACGGUAGCUAAGACCGGAUACGACCAUUUGGGGGCAUCCUUGAAUGGUGAAAAGCGGAGCAAUCUGCUACUGAAUGAUGGACCUGCGGCGCAUUGGCUAGUUGGUGAGGAGUGGCUCACCAAGGCGACGAUGCGUAGCCGACCUGAGAGGGUGAACGGCCACACUGGGACUGAGACACGGCCCAGACUCCUACGGGAGGCAGCAGUAGGGAAUCCUCGGCAAUGGACGAAAGUCUGACCGAGCAACGCCGCGUGAGUGAUGAAGGUUUUCGGAUCGUAAAACUCUGUUGCCAGGGAAGAAUGGCUAGGCGAGUAACUGCGCUUAGUAUAACGGUACCUGAGAAGAAAGUCCGGCUAACUACGUGCCAGCAGCCGCA
This 503-nucleotide ribosomal RNA is filed under the name uncultured bacterium. RNAcentral's name for it is "bacterial SSU rRNA". It matches the Rfam family "Bacterial small subunit ribosomal RNA", at positions 28 to 519 of the family's 1533-position model. The record is from RNAcentral.